GCGCUUGUAGCUUAACCGGACAGAGCGUUGGCCUCCGGAGCCAAAGGUUGUGAGUUCGAAUCUCACCAAGCGCA
RNAcentral lists this transfer RNA (74 nucleotides) under Elusimicrobiota bacterium. RNAcentral describes it as "Elusimicrobia bacterium (anaerobic digester metagenome) tRNA-Arg". It matches the Rfam family "tRNA". From Rfam's summary of the family: Transfer RNA (tRNA) molecules are approximately 80 nucleotides in length. Their secondary structure includes four short double-helical elements and three loops (D, anti-codon, and T loops). Further hydrogen bonds mediate the characteristic L-shaped molecular structure. tRNAs have two regions of fundamental functional importance: the anti-codon, which is responsible for specific mRNA codon recognition, and the 3' end, to which the tRNAs corresponding amino acid is attached (by aminoacyl-tRNA synthetases). tRNAs cope with the degeneracy of the genetic code in two manners: having more than one tRNA (with a specific anti-codon) for a particular amino acid; and 'wobble' base-pairing, i.e. permitting non-standard base-pairing at the 3rd anti-codon position. The record is from RNAcentral. Lineage: Bacteria; Pseudomonadati; Elusimicrobiota. RNAcentral also lists the same sequence under 1 other name.